UGUGUUGUGGCUCAGUGGUAGAACACUCGCCUAGCACAUGUGAGGCUUUGGGUUCAAUCCUCAGCACCACAA
Molecule: non-coding RNA, 72 nt
Organism: Ictidomys tridecemlineatus (thirteen-lined ground squirrel)
Lineage: Eukaryota; Metazoa; Chordata; Mammalia; Rodentia; Sciuridae
Source: Rfam